UGGGGAAUAUUGGACAAUGGGCGGAAGCCUGAUCCAGCCAUGCCGCGUGUGUGAAGAAGGCCUUUUGGUUGUAAAGCACUUUAAGCGAGGAGGAGGCUACUUGGAUUAAUACUCUAGGAUAGUGGACGUUACUCGCAGAAUAAGCACCGGCUAACUCUGUGCCAGCAGCCGCGGUAAUACUGAGGGUGCGAGCGUUAAUCGGAUUUACUGGGCGUAAAGCGUGCGUAGGCGGCUUCUUAAGUCGGAUGUGAAAUCCCUGAGCUUAACUUGGGAAUUGCAUUCGAUACUGGGAAGCUAGAGUAUGGGAGAGGAUGGUAGAAUUCCAGGUGUAGCGGUGAAAUGCGUAGAGAUCUGGAGGAAUACCGAUGGCGAAGGCAGCCAUCUGGCGUAAUACUGACGCUGAGGUACGAAAGCAUGGGGAGCAAACAGG
Molecule: ribosomal RNA, 430 nt
Filed under: bacterium
Lineage: Bacteria
Description: partial 16S ribosomal RNA
Rfam family: Bacterial small subunit ribosomal RNA
Source: RNAcentral